Molecule: ribosomal RNA, 460 nt
Filed under: uncultured bacterium
Lineage: Bacteria
Description: partial 16S ribosomal RNA
Rfam family: Bacterial small subunit ribosomal RNA
Source: RNAcentral
CCUACGGGAGGCAGCAGUGAGGAAUAUUGGUCAAUGGACGAGAGUCUGAACCAGCCAAGUAGCGUGAAGGAUGACUGCCCUAUGGGUUGUAAACUUCUUUUAUAUGGGAAUAAAAUGUUCCACGUGUGGGAUUUUGUAUGUACCAUAUGAAUAAGGAUCGGCUAACUCCGUGCCAGCAGCCGCGGUAAUACGGAGGAUCCGAGCGUUAUCCGGAUUUAUUGGGUUUAAAGGGAGCGUAGGUGGAUUGAUAAGUCAGUUGUGAAAGUUUGCGGCUCAACCGUAAAAUUGCAGUUGAAACUGGCAGUCUUGAGUACAGUAGAGGUGGGCGGAAUUCGUGGUGUAGCGGUGAAAUGCUUAGAUAUCACGAAGAACUCCGAUUGCGAAGGCAGUUCACUGGACUGCAACUGACACUGAGGCUCGAAAGUGUGGGUAUCAAACAGGAUUAGAUACCCGAGUAGUC